Daucus carota subsp. sativus is the source of this 6623-nucleotide long non-coding RNA. RefSeq lists it as uncharacterized. The record is from RefSeq and is a predicted model, not a curated record. The transcript is spliced from 4 exons. NCBI's taxonomy places the organism in Eukaryota, Viridiplantae, Streptophyta, Magnoliopsida, Apiales, Apiaceae.
UUAUAUUAAACCCCGGGUUAUUGUGUUAUUGAUAAAUGAUUAUAUUUUUAAAAUUGAUUUUCAUAUAUUGUUUCGAAAAUUCUAGAUGAUUAUUAUGUGAAUAUAUGUGUGAUGUGAGUAAUUGGUAUUGGUGGAUUUGUUGGUUAAUUAAUUAUGGUUAAUUAUGAGUAUUAUAUGAUUAAUAUAUGAAUUUUUGUUAAUUUUAUAUUAUCUGGUUUAUUGCGUUAACUGCUCAUAUGUGUUCGUAUUUGAGAGAUUUCAAUUUCUAUAUGCUCAGGAGAAAAUAUAGUUUAUUUAAAUAUGUUCAUAUCGAUUUAUGGAUGUUAUAUGAUUUUAUAAUCGAUUUACGGAUUUAAUUGCGUAUAUUUAUAUUUAUUUAUUAAUUAUUUGACUUCCGUAAAACCGUCCACUCGUAACGGGGUAGCAAAUUUUCUUCCCGGAAGUUUCAACAAAACUCACCUUUAGCCUAAUUUGAAUAUUCCGGACAUUUUUCGUGUUUUGACUUUUUAGAUCCGGAGUACGGUUUUCCCCGUAGUCGGUCCGGCGGAGUUUUGCGGGUAUUUUAAUUGUUGAUAAUUAUCUGGUUGUCUCGAUAAACGUGAAACUAGAUAUUUUGAUUCAUCCUUAUCUUGUAAUAAUUGCAGUGGGACCCGCAUACUAAUGACUGAUUAAAAAGCCCCGUUUUGAUGAUUAUCUUGAAAACCAGUACCGAUUGGACCCCGCUUUAUUAAUAUAAAGCUAUUAAAUACGUAUUUUCAUGUCAUAAACGAUCCAAAGGGGUACCAAGUAUUUGUAAAUAUAAAUAGACUUUUCUAUAGCUUAUUUUCACCGUAAAAAUCAUUUCACCAGUUUCUUUUCACGAAUACCGAGAGAAACCGAGCUGCGUUCUUCGUGUUCUUCGUAAUCAAACGAGGAUUUGAAGGUGUUAUUGGAAUCCGAUGGAGGCAUAUGAAUAGUCAAAACGAAGCUAUCGACGCGUAGAAUCAGGUUUAAGCAUCCGUUUAUGUGCAGAUUUUUCAGGAUUUGGACGAGACGUGUACGCUCGAAGACGUCAGAAAGUCGGAAUGGUAUUGCAAAGCGAAUAAGGGAUGAUUGAGUAAGCGAAGCGAAGUGGCGAAUAGAGUAUAGCUAGAGAUGGUCUAGAGAUUACGAGAUGCAUAGAUUGUGAAAGUGGAAAGAUGAGAUAGAGAUGUGAGACUGGAGUCAGAUUUAAGGCAAGUAUCCUACACCCUGCUUUUGGAUAUAUUGCAUAUUCUGAUCCAUUCUUUUCUAUAUGUGCUGCAAGUAUCCUAAACCUUUCUCUUGGAUAUAUUGCAAAUAUUCUGAUCCAUUCCUUUGGUAUAUGUUUCAAGUAUUCAUACCUUUCUUUUCAAUGUUCGAAAGUGCGAGUAUUUUGACCCAUUCUUUCUAAUCUUCAAGUUUCUAAAGAAUUUCCGUUUUACAAAUUAAUUCGAAGUUCAGAUUGUCAUUGAAGCAUGUGUUGCUCAGUGAUAGUUAGAGCUUUGAAUGAAUUGGGAUCUUCUUGAUUAUUCAACCCGCCAUUGUCAUGCUGGUUUAGCAGGCUAAAUUCAGUUGCUUAGCCGAUAAUGGAGGAUACUGAAUAGUUGAGGAUUUCCUGAACUGUGAUUUAUGAAAUGAUGGAUCAUGAUUUAUGAAUAGAUUAUUAUCAAAGUUUGAUUUGGAAUUAUUCUGUUGUUGAUGAUAUUUAUGAUGAUGUUCUGUUAAUUUACAUUGGCUUCUUGAAUUGAAUUAGAGAAUUGGAUUAUUGUUUUUAUAUAAACCUGUGGACCAGAUUCGUGGUCAUGUUAGGCCAAUGAGUGCCUUGGAUCCAGUGAUAGAGCAUGGCGGGGCCUGCUCGGGGUUAGGUAUGUCUGAUCAGCAUCCUAACCUUGGUUUUAAUUAAAAUGUGAUAGUCCAAUUCAAUAAUUCUUUUGGAAAGAUUGAAUUCCUCAGUGUUCAAUUGCUACAAGAAAGGCUUAAAGAUGAGAUGAUUGCUUGAGAUUGUGAAUAAGGCUAAUGCUAGGCGAGGAGACAGAGUUGAGGAUCCAGUGGUCGAGGAGUGUUCAGGAAAGUUGAUGAGGUUGGUGCAAGCUAAAGCUGUGCUAUAGAGAUUCAAGUGUAAGUCAUAGCUGGAAUAGUUGGCAGUGAUUCUUCUUAUCGAAGAUGAUCUGAUUUGGUAAGAGAUGUUGUGUAAUAAUAGUGGUAGAUUCUAAUUUCAAUACUGUAACCUGAAUGCGAUCCUGUUGCUUUUAGGGGGUUUAAAUGUUCUCUUUCGAAUCAUUUAUUAAAGUUUAAAUGUUCUCUUGAAAUUCUCUUAUUAUGGCUUUCAAGUUUUAAACUCUCUGAUUUUAUUAUCUUUUGAAAAAAAAAAAAUAUAUACAGGAUUUCAAAAGUGUUUAAAAAUGGGUUUUAUGUGGUGACGUCAGAAUCCAGGCCCCCGGAUUCUCGGGCUGUCACAGUUGGUAUCAGAGCAACAGGUUAUAAGUAUUUGAAAUUAGAAUAUAGAUUAUAGUUUUAAGUUCUAUUGAUGAGGAAUGUUGUGUAACCUCACAUAGAGGUAUGGUCUGACUAUUUGGAAAUAGUCUAGAGAUGUGAUAGAGGUAUAGAAUCUGGUUAGACGAUCAAGUUGAGUGUAUAAGGUUAGAGAGAUUUGGAUUCCUAAGUUAGACGUAUGAUUUCUAGUAUGUUGACUAGUUGAGAUGAUGAAUUGUGUGAAAGGUCAAGAUUAGACCUAGAUAGAAGAGUUUGAUAGUGAAUGAUUGAGUUGAGAAUGGUGAAAAUGCGGAGUUCAGAGUAUUCUGACUAUACUGCAUAGUUGAAAAUGGUCUAUUGUAUUGACUUGAGAAUGAUAGAAAUGCAUGGUUAUAGUAUGUUGACAAUGUCAGAUAUUUGGAAGAGGUAUGUUGUUUCAGGGAGAUAUGGAGAGUUAGUGUAAGAUAUGAGUUGUACUGAAUUAGAAGGAGAGAUUUGUAGAUAGAAGUGGAUAGAUAAUAAGUGCAUGAUAGAGAGUAUGUGGAAUUGAGUCCAGUUAUUAGAGAUGAUGUCUACGAGUAAGUUAGAACGUUAGUCCUCGACGACAACGCUUCGAGCUAAUCGGGAUUUCAAAUGGCAUCAAGGUGGGCCCAUAACCCACAGGUUGAUGAUCCAGACAAUCGAAGAUACGUUACGUGUUUGUGCUAUGGAUUUCAAAGGCAACUGGGAUAAAGUAGAAGAAUGUAAACUACAUGGACCAGAGUUAUUACGGACGAUAACGUCUACGAUGACAUCUUACGAGGCUAAUACGAGUCAAAUCGAUUGAUCAUCAAGAACGUUGAAAAGAAGACAUAUAUCGUACAAUGAUUUAUGGAAGUGGAGUCGGAAUCUGAGAAGACCUUGGCAAUACCUCUCUUCAACUAAAGAUUCUUUUGAUUGUUUUCUCAUCAGUGAGAUAUUAUCAUGAUAUCUUUUCUACAAAAGUUUUGAUAAAUGAGAUCUUCAAUUUCUCAAAUUCUAAGAUGACAUUGAUAUUGAUUAUUGGUAUGAGUUGGAAAGCAAGGAUGUGUGAUAAAGGCGUGUUUAUGAAGAGACAGUGGAAUUCCUUGAUAUUCUUUGAUAUCCCUUGAUAUUCUUUCAUAUUCUUUGAUAUCCCUUAAUAUUCGUUGAUAUUCUUUGACACUCUUUGAUAUUCCUUGAUAUCUUUUCGAUAUUCCUUAAUAUAUUCCUCGAUAAUCCUUAACAUUCCUUGAUGCUCCUUGAGAUUUCUUGGAUUCUUUCCAUCUGAUUGGGAUGAACAACCCUAUGUAUAGGGGACACAAGGUAUACCUGUCUGUGUGAUAGGAGUUGGAUGGGACGCCAUCACUUGUGUGUGUUGUGAUUACAAGAAGGUUAACAACCUUUAGUAGUGUCUAAUAUGGACACGCAACAUUAAGUUCAUUUGAUCGUAUUGAUCUCCCAGUCACUAUUGUAAUCCAAUGUGACCUAUUUUGAAAACACCUUGUUCUAUUCGAAAAUUCCCAAAGAUCGAUUCUUGGGAAAUGAAUUUUGCAAUCGCGAAAGUGUGAUUUUCCUUUUCCAUUAAAGUUAAAGGUAUGCCAAGAUCAAUCAAAGGUGGAUGACGAUAUGAUAUUACGAAGUGUGUACGUUUUAGUUUCUUCGGAGGAUUCCGAGGACGGAAUCCUUAUAAGGGGGGUAGAAUGUAAUAUCCCAUAUUUUUAAAUUUAGAUUUGAUUGUUAUAAAUCUAUUUGUCUAAAUAUUAUUGUUGGCUCUAGUUGAAUAUUGAUGUGAUUAUGUGAAUAGUUGUAUGUGAUUAUACUUGUGUUGUGGAUUAGUAUGGAUUUUACAGAUUAUGCAUCCUCCUUCUUUCUCUGAUUCCGAGGACGGAAUCCCUAUAAGGAGGGUAGAUUGUAAUGACCCGGAUUUUUAAAAAAAUAUUUUUAUUAGUAUUAUAAGUGGUCUUCUUAAUAAAUAAGGAAUAAGAUUUAAUAUUUUAUUCCAGUUUAAGGAGUUUUCAAAAUUUUAUAUUAAACCCCGGGUUAUUGUGUUAUUGAUAAAUGAUUAUAUUUUUAAAAUUGAUUUUCAUAUAUUGUUUCGAAAAUUCUAGAUGAUUAUUAUGUGAAUAUAUGUGUGAUGUGAGUAAUUGGUAUUGGUGGAUUUGUUGGUUAAUUAAUUAUGGUUAAUUAUGAGUAUUAUAUGAUUAAUAUAUGAAUUUUUGUUAAUUUUAUAUUAUCUGGUUUAUUGCGUUAACUGCUCAUAUGUGUUCGUAUUUGAGAGAUUUCAAUUUCUAUAUGCUCAGGAGAAAAUAUAGUUUAUUUAAAUAUGUUCAUAUCGAUUUAUGGAUGUUAUAUGAUUUUAUAAUCGAUUUACGGAUUUAAUUGCGUAUAUUUAUAUUUAUUUAUUAAUUAUUUGACUUCCGUAAAACCGUCCACUCGUAACGGGGUAGCAAAUUUUCUUCCCGGAAGUUUCAACAAAACUCACCUUUAGCCUAAUUUGAAUAUUCCGGACAUUUUUCGUGUUUUGACUUUUUAGAUCCGGAGUACGGUUUUCCCCGUAGUCGGUCCGGCGGAGUUUUGCGGGUAUUUUAAUUGUUGAUAAUUAUCUGGUUGUCUCGAUAAACGUGAAACUAGAUAUUUUGAUUCAUCCUUAUCUUGUAAUAAUUGCAGUGGGACCCGCAUACUAAUGACUGAUUAAAAAGCCCCGUUUUGAUGAUUAUCUUGAAAACCAGUACCGAUUGGACCCCGCUUUAUUAAUAUAAAGCUAUUAAAUACGUAUUUUCAUGUCAUAAACGAUCCAAAGGGGUACCAAGUAUUUGUAAAUAUAAAUAGACUUUUCUAUAGCUUAUUUUCACCGUAAAAAUCAUUUCACCAGUUUCUUUUCACGAAUACCGAGAGAAACCGAGCUGCGUUCUUCGUGUUCUUCGUAAUCAAACGAGGAUUUGAAGGUGUUAUUGGAAUCCGAUGGAGGCAUAUGAAUAGUCAAAACGAAGCUAUCGACGCGUAGAAUCAGGUUUAAGCAUCCGUUUAUGUGCAGAUUUUUCAGGAUUUGGACGAGACGUGUACGCUCGAAGACGUCAGAAAGUCGGAAUGGUAUUGCAAAGCGAAUAAGGGAUGAUUGAGUAAGCGAAGCGAAGUGGCGAAUAGAGUAUAGCUAGAGAUGGUCUAGAGAUUACGAGAUGCAUAGAUUGUGAAAGUGGAAAGAUGAGAUAGAGAUGUGAGACUGGAGUCAGAUUUAAGGCAAGUAUCCUACACCCUGCUUUUGGAUAUAUUGCAUAUUCUGAUCCAUUCUUUUCUAUAUGUGCUGCAAGUAUCCUAAACCUUUCUCUUGGAUAUAUUGCAAAUAUUCUGAUCCAUUCCUUUGGUAUAUGUUUCAAGUAUUCAUACCUUUCUUUUCAAUGUUCGAAAGUGCGAGUAUUUUGACCCAUUCUUUCUAAUCUUCAAGUUUCUAAAGAAUUUCCGUUUUACAAAUUAAUUCGAAGUUCAGAUUGUCAUUGAAGCAUGUGUUGCUCAGUGAUAGUUAGAGCUUUGAAUGAAUUGGGAUCUUCUUGAUUAUUCAACCCGCCAUUGUCAUGCUGGUUUAGCAGGCUAAAUUCAGUUGCUUAGCCGAUAAUGGAGGAUACUGAAUAGUUGAGGAUUUCCUGAACUGUGAUUUAUGAAAUGAUGGAUCAUGAUUUAUGAAUAGAUUAUUAUCAAAGUUUGAUUUGGAAUUAUUCUGUUGUUGAUGAUAUUUAUGAUGAUGUUCUGUUAAUUUACAUUGGCUUCUUGAAUUGAAUUAGAGAAUUGGAUUAUUGUUUUUAUAUAAACCUGUGGACCAGAUUCGUGGUCAUGUUAGGCCAAUGAGUGCCUUGGAUCCAGUGAUAGAGCAUGGCGGGGCCUGCUCGGGGUUAGGUAUGUCUGAUCAGCAUCCUAACCUUGGUUUUAAUUAAAAUGUGAUAGUCCAAUUCAAUAAUUCUUUUGGAAAGAUUGAAUUCCUCAGUGUUCAAUUGCUACAAGGUAUUGUGAUAUUCUUAUACAAUACCUAAACUCGUGAACUCAGGUUGAAUCCUUUUAUAUCUUGAACUCGUGAACUUCUGUUAUAUCAUUUCAGAAUUAUCAUUGUUAUUAUUACUUGCUGAGCAUUGUUGCUCACCCUUGCUAUUCCUUUCUAACCA